Molecule: long non-coding RNA, 256 nt
Filed under: Vitis vinifera (wine grape)
Lineage: Eukaryota; Viridiplantae; Streptophyta; Magnoliopsida; Vitales; Vitaceae
Description: long non-coding RNA (VVIN_LNC006792)
Source: RNAcentral
UAGAUUUGUGUAUAUCAAUUGAGGAAUUGGUGAAACCCCUACAUAAAAUCAUUUUUCAAAAACCUUUUAUUGUUAGCUUGUUCAAUUUACUGCAUCUCUAAAAAGAAAAUUCGAUUUGAUCUAUUUAUGAUGUUUCCAAAAUUGUUCCAGCGAUUGUAUGAUAUUGUAGACAUCUUGAAAAUAAAUUCAAAAGUUUGUUUGAGUUAAAAGCAAUUCUGAGAUGGAAGAUAUAAAUGAGUCUUCAUUUGUGCAUUUA